UGUCUGGAGGGGAAAUGAAAACUCUUUUCUGCUUAAUGAAUGCAGUAAGUGGACGGAAGCCUGAGUUCCCAGCACUCCAUUAGCAAGCCAGCCAGCCAGCCAGUAUGUUGGUGUUUGAUCUUAUGCCUAUCACUUCAUGGUCCCAAGAUUGUUUGUAAAGUUCCAGACAUCACACCUAUAUCAUCC
RNAcentral lists this long non-coding RNA (186 nucleotides) under Mustela putorius furo (domestic ferret). Its description in RNAcentral is "lncRNA (ENSMPUG00000026957.1)". Lineage: Eukaryota; Metazoa; Chordata; Mammalia; Carnivora; Mustelidae. The record is from RNAcentral.